This is a long non-coding RNA of Serinus canaria (Common canary), 1116 nucleotides long. RefSeq lists it as uncharacterized. The transcript is spliced from 3 exons. The record is from RefSeq and is a predicted model, not a curated record. Lineage: Eukaryota; Metazoa; Chordata; Aves; Passeriformes; Fringillidae.
GGCGGCGGCAGCGGUACCGGGCCUGAGGCGGCGGAAUGACGAGCCCGGGCGGAACCUGCGCGACACCUUUAUGAGCUCAGCGAGGAGAUGGCGGCGGCGGCGGAGCCCUGCGCGCCCGCCGGCUGCAGCGCCCCCUGUCCCUUGGGAGGGCGCACUACACUCCGUCCCCUCACGCCGCGACCCUGGCCCGGGGCGGCGCCUACGGAAGGGCCGAGUCACCCCGCGUGACCCGGCAGGGCGGGGGUAGGGCCCUGGAGUCAGUCUUGUGGAGAAUUCCGAUGGAAAAAUAUCAGUAAAAAGUGAGUGUAGUUAGACUUUCCUCGGGGACGAGGAGAUCGCCUCCCUGCUCAGCGGGGUGCUCGGGGCGCGCUGUUCCCCUCACACCGCGGGAUGAGCGCCAGGCAAUCCCCGCCGCCCCUCAGCCCCUGGUGGGCAGUGGGCUCAGGCCGGCUGGGGAGAGCGGGAGGGGCUCCGUGAACGAAUGACCACGUGUCUCGUCCCCACCCCAGCGCUGCCGGUGUCCCUCUGUGUACCAAAAGUCUGGAAAUUCAGUCACGGAGCGUGGCGAGAGCGGAGGCGCUGCCGGUCCCAGCUCGGGUGCCCGCGGGUCCUGGAGGCGGGCAUGGACCGGGGCACGGGCUGGUGGCCCUGGUUCCGUGAGGAUCGUCAGGACGGAUUGCAGCAGGCAGCGAAUUUGUGGGGAGAGCACCCCCAAUGGGUCUGGCUUUCCUUGGGACGGAGGUAAGAAAGGCACAGUUUUCCUUUGGGAAUUCGGUGCCCGGCUGGCCGUUUCCCCGGCAGGGAGAGAGCAGAGCCAGCAGUCACGUACUUCUGGUGCCCGAGAGGAAAGCCCAGUCAGCCCCUGAUCCACAAAAUACGUGUUUGUUCCGCACAAAGGUGCCUAACAGUGUGCGAAAUCAAUGAAUGUUGGCAAUGCACAAGGCAGCUCAGAAACUAUGGGCAGAAGAAAGAAGUUGUGGGACUGAUAUGAACAAAACAACAAGGAUGCAAAAACCCCCAUCUUUAGGACACAAAUGUGAAAGACAGAACUCAGUGGUGGUUGUUGAAAACUGCCUGACUGAAAACAUGCUGAAAUAGCAUCACAUGAUAUUUGAG